Molecule: ribosomal RNA, 468 nt
Filed under: uncultured bacterium
Lineage: Bacteria
Description: partial 16S ribosomal RNA
Rfam family: Bacterial small subunit ribosomal RNA
Source: RNAcentral
GACGAACGCUGGCGGCGUGCUUAACACAUGCAAGUCGAACGGAAAGACGCGGCUCUUGUGGCUUUCUCGAUUGGCGAACGCGUGAGUAACACGUGAGGAACCUGCCCUUAACUUUGUGAUAACUUCAGGAGACUGGGGCGAAUACCGGAGAGAAGCUCCUGCUGCAUAGGGGUGGUUGGAGAAUGUCGGCUGUUGGGGAUGGACUCGAGGGUUAUCAGCUUGUUGGGGGGGUAGUGGCUUACCACGGCUUUGACGGGUAGGCGGCAUGAGAGGGUGAACGGCCACCAUGCGACUGCGAUAGGCACCAGAAUCCUACGGGAGGCAGUAGUGGAGAAUAUUGCGGAAUGGGCGGAAGCCUGAUGUAGCAACGCUGCGUGCGGGAUGAUGGCUUUCGGGUUGUAAACAGCUUUGUCAUGUGCUGAAGAGUGCGUGACGGUAACGGGUCAAGAAGCCACGGCUAACUACGUG